CUUGAGAUGAAAUCUAGUCUUGGUGAAGAUGCUAUGAACAUCGUUGAAACAACACAGGAUUUACGAUAUCGCAUAAACCUAGUUUAUAAAGCAAUGGUAAGAUUUGAGAGGGUUGACUCUAAUUUUGAAAGAUGUCCUACUGUGGAUAAAGUGCUAUCCACAGCAUUGCAUGCUACAGAAAAAUCUUUCAUGAAAUGAAGAGUCAAUUGAUACAGCAAAUUUUGUUGUUAUCUUAUUUUACAGAAAUUGCCACAGUCACCUCAACCUUCAGCAACCACCAACUUGAUCAAUCAGCAGCCAAUAACGUGAAGUCAUGACCAUUCACCAGCAAAAAGUUUAUGAUUCACCAAAAUAUUAGAUGAUCAUUAACAUUUUUAGCAAUAAUGUAUUUGUCAUUAAGGUGUUAGUGCAUUGGAAAAUCAUUUAAAGAAUGUAUCAGCUAAUUGAAGGCUUAUGUGUAAACAAGAUUCCUGCCAGGCUUUGACUACUACCCUUGGCCUUCCUAUACAGGGUUGUAAAGAAUCAUCAUGAUGUAUGUUUGAAAUUAUGUUUAACAGUAUUACAGUCAAUAUAGACUAAAUUUUGAUGCAGUAACAACCUCAGAACUUUUACAAUCAUUGCUGGACUGAGAGAGAAAGAGAGAGUGAACAGGGAAUGUCACAUGAGCAGAGAAUGUCACUAUCUCAACUGUAAAAAACAAACAUUACUUCUACUCACAUUUCAUUGCCCAGAACUAGUCCUAUACCUGUGCCUAACUGGAAAUGAGCACAAACUAUCGUGUCUGUCAUGCUCAAGGAGAGGAAAUUGGUUAUUGGUCAGUGUCAAUAUUGUCCACAAAUGUGAAUUACAUUUUAUAAGGUGUUGACUCUGCCUGUCACCCACAAAAGAGCUUUGAGUACAAUUGGCAAACCGUAUAUGCUAUAUUUUUAAAACAAUAUUUCUCUUCCAUGUGUUAAAUGUAAUAAUUGUUUUAGAUUAUUUAACUUGAUAUAUUACUAAGCUUUUUUUCCCUACUCAAACAAAAAGUACUCUUACAAUCAAAGAAACAUGUUUAUUGUUGUUGUUGAUUUAAUUUUCAAACACAUUUGAAGGACUCAAAACACAACCACUCUUUCAAACCUCAAAUAUCAACUAAGUUAUAAUCAGUAUCUUUUGUAUGGUAAGGCACUAGACCCAGAAUAACAGAAGAAAAACAAUGGAAGAUAAAUUUAAAAGUUAAUGGAAGAAAACAUAAUUAUGGAGAGUUACAACUAUUACAUGUUUACUUUUAAACUGGUAAUUGAUAUCUAAAAUAAGUAAGGGUUUGAUAUGGGAAGAAUAGUAAACGGGAGAUAGGAGCACUAAUUUUAAGACACUUUUUUGACAUCAGUUAGUAAAACAAUUUUGGAAAAAAACAAUGAUCUAUGUUUCUUAAAUCUAAUUAAUUUAUAUUAUUUCAUAUAUAUUUUUUAAAAUGAGCUAUCCUUCAAAAUGCAACCGAUUAGAAUAUUUUACUAUCUUUUCUAUGAAGUUUAAGGUUUAAUAAGCUUUCACUUUAACUUUCUAAUACAAUGGAAUAAUUUCUAUUGUCAUUUUAUUGUGUAAUACUAUUGUAAAGCUUUAAAACAUAAAAAAAUACAAAAACAUAAAAUUUACAUUUUAUAUAAAGAUACAAUUUGUAAAACAAUUUAGAACAUAUUAUUCUAUUACAAUAAAUUAUCCUGCAAACUUUUAGGGUUGUUCUUUGCUUCUAAUAUCCCAUAUGAGAAUUUACUAAUCUUAAGCUGUCAGAUCUUACUUUUCUCACUUCCUUAACCAUAUUUUCUGCCUUCAUCUCACCCUUGCAUUCUCAAGCUUUCUUGACCUAUGGCAAAAUAAAUAUUAAUAUGAAUUCAUAGACAGAUGUAUAUUUAUAGAUCUGUGGAAGAUUAAUAUCUCAUAUCCAUUUUUUGUUGUAUUUAUUUAUGAAUUUAUUUAUUCAUGUGGCCCAGUUUGGCUUUUUGAAAUGAUAGCCUCAUGAAAUGUUUCAUAAUGAUAUCUUUAUUCUGUGACUGGAUUAAAAUUUAUGUUAUUUCUGUAAACUCAGUUUGAAUUACUCCAUCUUUGAUGUCUAUAGUAUGGAAUUAACACAGUGGAGUUUAUGUGCUUCAUGGGACCCUUAAGUGCAAACUUGUAAAAUCUUUCAUUAUUUCAAUAAUUACACAUGAUAAUAAUUUAGAGACAUGAGUGACAUCUAAACUUUGAAAACGGCAUUGUGCUCUUUCUAAAUGUAUUAUGGAGGAUUUCUCUCAUUUUUCUUGUCUUAAUUGUUUAAAUGCAUUUGAGCAAAGUUUCCAUUUACCUUGCUAGUUGUUUUAGAUGGCUGCCGGAUCGCUAUUCAUGAAGGAAGGACUAACAGAUGGAGACCCGCUACUGACUUCAGUAAACCUAAAUUAUCUGAAAGUGGUAGAAUAAGAGAAAGGUUAUGAAUGGUGAUGACAUUGAGCCCAGGUUAAAUCCAGGAAGCCAACACCCAGUUUUAUGUAUAAAGUUUGAAAGAUGUAAGAUGAGAGAAAGGCAUAUUGUCAGUAAUGAAUCAGUGUAAAUCAGAACUUGGGAACUGAUACUGUUAAUUGUCUUCUGGAGGCCCACUUAAUUGUGGUUUUUGAAAAUUAUGCCACGAGGAGGAGAUAUUUGUGUUCUCUCAUGAGCGUGAAAACAGCGUUUGGUGUUGCGUUAUUCCAACUGCCAUUUGCUAUUGGUGAUCGUUCUUCUCUAGAGAAUGCGCAACCUACUCAUCUGACAAAGGGC
RNAcentral lists this long non-coding RNA (2769 nucleotides) under Homo sapiens (human). RNAcentral describes it as "long non-coding RNA NONHSAT195924.1". The stretch from base 2566 to 2769 matches the Rfam family "Small nucleolar RNA U3", at positions 1 to 191 of the family's 219-position model. Lineage: Eukaryota; Metazoa; Chordata; Mammalia; Primates; Hominidae. The record is from RNAcentral.